UAAAUAAUAGUGAGUUCCACUAUUGGGUAAAAUAGUUUUAUCAGUGUGUGGUUUGUCGUUUUUGUUGACUAACCACUAUUUCUCUUCUGUUUACUCAAUUGCUAAUUGUUGUAAUGAAAGAGCUUAUGUGGUAAAGAACUAGUUAUUUGUCAUAUCUUACCUUGAUAUUGUGAUGAUUGUAGGACUUGCUGUUCUCGUACAACAUUGCCGUGGAUAGAUCAGAUGAAAUGAAAAGAGUACUCGGGAAAUCUGCUGCUAGUGUGGGCCUUCGUCUUCCUGAGCCUUAUCAGCCUUGAUGGUUUAGUUUCUUUGCUAUCAAACAAACGGAACCAGUGAUUUUGUUGAUCCAUUCCAAAGAAUGUUUACUGCUGUUGCUUGAACCAGUUGCUGGCUGUAAUAUUUGCCGCACUAAUAAAAUCAUAGUUGCUUGAA
Molecule: long non-coding RNA, 432 nt
Organism: Pistacia vera
Lineage: Eukaryota; Viridiplantae; Streptophyta; Magnoliopsida; Sapindales; Anacardiaceae
Exons: 2
Source: RefSeq, a predicted model, not a curated record